RNAcentral lists this ribosomal RNA (205 nucleotides) under uncultured bacterium. RNAcentral describes it as "partial 16S ribosomal RNA". It matches the Rfam family "Bacterial small subunit ribosomal RNA", at positions 568 to 773 of the family's 1533-position model. The record is from RNAcentral.
UGUGUAGGCGGCUUUGUAAGAUAGCGGUGAAAUACCUGGGCUUAACCUAGGAACUGCCGUUAUUACUAUAGAGCUAGAGUGAUAGAGAGGAUAUUGGAAUACCCAGUGUAGAGGUGAAAUUCGUAGAUAUUGGGUAGAACACCGGUGGCGAAGGCGAGUAUCUGGCUAUCAACUGACGCUGAGGCAUGAAAGAUGGGGAUGAAAC